GCCAUGUUUUGUUUUGUUUUUUUUUUUUGAAAACUACUCAUCUCUCCUCCCAGCAAAGAGUGCUUCCUGACUUUCUAAAAACUUAUCCUUUAGUCAUGCCUUUUGUUAUUACUACAGUCAUUUUCAGAUAUGUUAUGGCCCUCCUCAACUCAUGUAACCAGAAAAGCAAUUAAACAAAAUCAACUAAGCCAACAGCCAAGCCUGCCAACUUAACCAAUGUCCUGGAACUUUGGUCCCCUACCCAUCUACCAAAAGGAGAGAGAUAUGUUUUCUCAGCCCUUCACAAUUGAAAAAACUGGCAAAGAUGACAGCAGAGUCGAAGGAAGGGCCAUAAUCUCCUCACAACUGAUCAAUACAAAGCAAUACAAAAGGACAAAAAUCAAAAUCAGAUGAGUUAAGGAGCUCUGCCAAGGGGCACAGCCUUGAAGGUAAGGAGUUUGGGGGCAUUUCCACAAAAUAAGGGGGUAAAAAUAGACCUACCAAAGUGUGAGCUGGUCACCUCUUCCCCACAAACCUACUAUGCCAGAGUCAGAGUGAGGGCUAGGAGAAUCUCUAAAUUCUCAGGGGCCAGAUGAAGGCACCAUAGUCUUACCCAUGAG
Molecule: long non-coding RNA, 599 nt
Filed under: Monodelphis domestica (gray short-tailed opossum)
Lineage: Eukaryota; Metazoa; Chordata; Mammalia; Didelphimorphia; Didelphidae
Description: lncRNA (ENSMODG00000030657.2)
Source: RNAcentral